CAAUGUUGAGGAGAUGCUCCCUAUAGUUUACACUCCUACUGUUGGUGAGGCAUGCCAGAAAUAUGGAAGGAUCUUUGGUCGUCCUCAGGGUCUUUACAUCAGUUUCAAAGAAAAGGGUAGAAUUCUUGAAGUAUUAAGGAACUGGCCUGAGAAGAAUAUUCAAGUCAUUGUUGUUACUGACGGUGAACGUAUAUUGGGGUUAGGGGACCUUGGAUGUCAGGGUAUGGGGAUACCCGUUGGGAAACUCUCUUUAUACACAGCACUUGGUGGAGUCCGUCCUUCAGCUUGCCUGCCUGUGACAAUUGACGUGGGAACCAACAAUGAGAAGCUGCUAAACGAUGAAUUCUACAUAGGGCUCAGACAAAGAAGAGCUACUGGACAGGAAUAUUC
This 390-nucleotide unclassified non-coding RNA is filed under the name Hevea brasiliensis (rubber tree). The record is from RNAcentral. Lineage: Eukaryota; Viridiplantae; Streptophyta; Magnoliopsida; Malpighiales; Euphorbiaceae.